RNAcentral lists this ribosomal RNA (460 nucleotides) under uncultured bacterium. Its description in RNAcentral is "partial 16S ribosomal RNA". It matches the Rfam family "Bacterial small subunit ribosomal RNA", at positions 338 to 795 of the family's 1533-position model. The record is from RNAcentral.
CCUACGGGAGGCUGCAGUGAGGAAUAUUGGUCAAUGGACGAGAGUCUGAACCAGCCAAGUCGCGUGAGGGAAGAAUGUCCUAUGGGUUGUAAACUUCUUUUAUAUGGGAGUAAAACAGGGUAUGCAUACCCUCCUGUAUGUACCAUAUGAAUAAGGAUCGGCUAACUCCGUGCCAGCAGCCGCGGUAAUACGGAGGAUUCGAGCGUUAUCCGGAUUUGUUGGGGUUAAAGGGAGCGGAGGUGGAUUGUUAAGUCAGUUGUGAAAGUUGGGGGCUCAAACUUAAAAUUGCAGUUGAAACUGGCAGUCUUGAGUGCAUGAGAGGUGGGCGGAAUGCGAGGUGUAGCGGUGAAAUGCGUAGAUAUCACGAAGAACUCCGAUUGCGAAGGCAGCUCACUGGCCUGCAACUGACACUGAUGCUCGAAAGUGUGGGUAUCAAACAGGAUUAGAUACCCGAGUAGUC